Molecule: long non-coding RNA, 374 nt
Organism: Beta vulgaris subsp. vulgaris (sugar beet)
Lineage: Eukaryota; Viridiplantae; Streptophyta; Magnoliopsida; Caryophyllales; Amaranthaceae
Exons: 2
Source: RefSeq, a predicted model, not a curated record
AGCCUGAAGGUGGUGCUAAUGCACUCAAUAUUAACAGUUUAAGACUACUACUUCAUAAAGUAGCAGCCACAGACCAUCACAAAGGGGAAACCCAAUCAGAACAGUCUGAUGCUCGAAGACUCAGCACAUCUCAAGCUUUUGUGGAAAAACUAUUGGAAGAGAGUCUUGCAAAGCUUCAGGAAGAGGUUUCUGGUGGUGCGGUAGCUGGCGUGGUGGUGUAGUACCUCGGCAUUGGCAGUGGCUCGGACUAUUAUUAGAUUGAAGUUGUUGUAUUAGAUUUUAGUUACAAUGUAAUUAUACUAUUAUAGUACUAAAUUUUGGUAUUAGAUUGUAAUUAUAUAUAUUUAAUUUAAAUAAAAUUCUCAUUUGUUUAA